RNAcentral lists this ribosomal RNA (253 nucleotides) under uncultured bacterium. Its description in RNAcentral is "partial 16S ribosomal RNA". It matches the Rfam family "Bacterial small subunit ribosomal RNA", at positions 524 to 776 of the family's 1533-position model. The record is from RNAcentral.
UACAGAGGGUGCAAGCGUUAAUCGGAAUUACUGGGCGUAAAGCGUGCGUAGACGGUUAUCUAAGUCGGAUGUGAAAUCCCCGGGCUCAACCUGGGAAUUGCAUUCGAGACUGAAUAGCUAGGGUACGGAAGAGGGAAGCGGAAUUUCCGGUGUAGCAGUGAAAUGCGUAGAUAUCGGAAGGAACAUCAGUGGCGAAAGCGGCUUCCUGGUCCAGUACCGACGUUCAGGCACGAAAGCGUGGGGAGCAAACAGG